Molecule: ribosomal RNA, 443 nt
Filed under: uncultured bacterium
Lineage: Bacteria
Description: partial 16S ribosomal RNA
Rfam family: Bacterial small subunit ribosomal RNA
Source: RNAcentral
CCUACGGGAGGCAGCAGUGGGGGAUAUUGGACAAUGGGGGGAACCCUGAUCGAGCGACGCCGCGUGAGUGAAGAAGUAUUUCGGUAUGUAAAGCUCUGUCAGAAGGGAAGAAAGAAAUGACGGUACCUGACCAAGAAGCCCCGGCUAACUACGUGCCAGCAGCCGCGGUAAUACGUAGGGGGCAAGCGUUAUCCGGAAUUACUGGGUGUAAAGGGAGCGUAGACGGGUAAGUAAGUCUGGAGUGAAAGGCCGGGGGCCAACCCCGGGACUGCUCUGGAAACUAUUGAACUUGAGUGCAGGAGAGGUAAGCGGAAUUCCUAGUGGAGCGGUGAAAUGCGUAGAUAUUAGGAGGAACACCAGUGGCGAAGGCGGCUUACUGGACUGUAACUGACGUUGAGGCUCGAAAGCGUGGGGAGCAAACAGGAUUAGAUACCCGAGUAGUC